CAUCGUUAAUGGUCAGGAUAGCUCAG
This 26-nucleotide transfer RNA is filed under the name Hopea helferi. Its description in RNAcentral is "partial tRNA-Phe". RNAcentral also lists the same sequence under 1 other name. Lineage: Eukaryota; Viridiplantae; Streptophyta; Magnoliopsida; Malvales; Dipterocarpaceae. The record is from RNAcentral.